ACCAUAAUACAGCUUUCACAAGUUUCUUCAAGUCAUUACGAGAAUGCAGCACAUCUAACAGGGAAGUCCCAGCAUCCGCCCACACUAACACAGACAGGUGACUUGCAGGACGUCUCUGGGUUCCAUGAGUGUGUUACUGUGACGACCUGCUGGGUUUCUACCAGCUGAGAGAGACCUGCAUGAAGACAGUGAAACAGGUCAUCAUGGGCUGAAUGGGGGAUCACAACACAAUUCAAACAGAGUGAGAACUACUUUGGCUUUAUGUGUUGCUCCACUGGGAUUGGAUCACUGCAGUAACAUGAAAACACACGUAUGAAUGUUUAGAAUACA
Esox lucius (northern pike) is the source of this 330-nucleotide long non-coding RNA. RefSeq lists it as uncharacterized. The record is from RefSeq and is a predicted model, not a curated record. NCBI's taxonomy places the organism in Eukaryota, Metazoa, Chordata, Actinopteri, Esociformes, Esocidae. The transcript has 3 exons.